Molecule: ribosomal RNA, 268 nt
Filed under: uncultured Mesorhizobium sp.
Lineage: Bacteria; Pseudomonadati; Pseudomonadota; Alphaproteobacteria; Hyphomicrobiales; Phyllobacteriaceae
Description: partial 16S ribosomal RNA
Rfam family: Bacterial small subunit ribosomal RNA
Source: RNAcentral
GUUGCCAUCAUUCAGUUGGGCACUCUAAGGGGACUGCCGGUGAUAAGCCGAGAGGAAGGUGGGGAGUGACGUCAAGUCCUCAUGGCCCUUACGGGCUGGGCUACACACGUGCUACAAUGGUGGUGACAGUGGGCAGCGAGACCGCGAGGUCGAGCUAAUCUCCAAAAGCCAUCUCAGUUCGGAUUGCACUCUGCAACUCGAGUGCAUGAAGUUGGAAUCGCUAGUAAUCGCGGAUCAGCAUGCCGCGGUGAAUACGUUCCCGGGCCUU